GUGGGUAACCUGCCUUAUAGUGGGGGAUAGCCUUUCGAAAGGAAGAUUAAUACCGCAUAAGAUUGUAGUAUCGCAUGAUAUAGCAAUUAAAGGAGCAAUUCGCUAUAAGAUGGACCCGCGUCGCAUUAGCUAGUUGGUGAGGUAAUGGCUCACCAAGGCGACGAUGCGUAGCCGACCUGAGAGGAUGACCAGCCACACUGGAACUGAGACACGGUCCAGACUCCUACGGGAGGCAGCAUG
This 240-nucleotide ribosomal RNA is filed under the name uncultured bacterium. RNAcentral describes it as "partial 16S ribosomal RNA". It matches the Rfam family "Bacterial small subunit ribosomal RNA", at positions 117 to 353 of the family's 1533-position model. The record is from RNAcentral.